Molecule: ribosomal RNA, 1387 nt
Filed under: uncultured prokaryote
Description: partial 16S ribosomal RNA
Rfam family: Bacterial small subunit ribosomal RNA
Source: RNAcentral
UCAGAACGAACGCUGGCGGCGUGCUUAACACAUGCAAGUCGAACGAGAUACUUCGGUACGUAGAGUGGCGCACGGGUGAGUAACACGUAGGAACCUACCCUUUUGUGGGGGAUAACCAGAAGAAAUUCUGGCUAAUACCGCAUAAGUUGGAAACAAGAAAGGGUGCUGACGAAAGGAUGAGCCUGCGGAACCUUAGCUUGAUGGUGGGGUAAUGGCCUACCAUGGCUACGAUGUUUAGCUGGUCUGAGAGGAUGAUCAGCCACACUGGAACUGAGACACGGUCCAGACUCCUACGGGAGGCAGCAGUGGGGAAUAUUGCGCAAUGGGGGAAACCCUGACGCAGCAACGCCGCGUGAGUGAGGAAGGCCUUCGGGUUGUAAAGCUCUGUCAGAUGGGAAGAACGGCAGUGUACCAUCAAAGGAAGCACCGGUUAACUUCGUGUUAGUAGCCGCGGUAAUACGAAGGGUGCAAGCGUUAUUCGGAUUUACUGGGCGUAAAGCGCGCGCAGGCGGAUUUGUAAGUCAGAUGUGAAAUCUCGGGGCUCAACCCCGAAACUGCGUCUGAAACUGCUGAUCUAGAAUAUUGGAGGGGGAAGUGGAAUUUCGCAUGUAGGGGUAAAAUCCGUAGAGAUGCGAAGGAAUAUCAGAGGCAAAGGCGCCUUCCUGGACGAGUAUUGACGCUGAGGCGCGAAAGCGUGGGGAGCAAACAGGAUUAGAUACCCUGGUAGUCCACGCCGUAAACGAUGUGCACUAGAUUUGGGGGGUUUGACCCCUUAGUGCCGCAGCUAACGCAUUAAGUGCACCGCCUGGGGAGUACGGUCGCAAGACUAAAACUCAAAGGAAUUGACGGGGGCCCGCACAAGCGGUGGAUCAUGUGGUUUAAUUCGACGCAACGCGAAGAACCUUACCCGGGCUUGAAGUCCCACGCCUUGCCCAAAAGCGAGGGUGCUCUUCGGAGAAUGUGGUGAUAGGCGCUGCAUGGCUGUCGUCAGCUCGUGUUGUGAAAUGUUGGGUUAAGUCUCGCAACGAGCGCAACCCCUAUCUUUAGUUGCCAGCAUUAUUGGGCACUCUAGAGAGACUGCCUGGGCUAACCAGGAGGAAGGUGGGGAUGACGUCAAGUCCUCAUGGCCCUUAUGUCCGGGGCUACACACGUAAUACAAUGGUCAAAAGAGCAUGAAAUCUCAAAAAUUGAUCUCAGUCCGGAUUGGAGUCUGCAACUCGACUCCAUGAAGUUGGAAUCGCUAGUAAUCGCGGAUCAGACGCCGCGGUGAAUACGUUCCCGGGCCUUGUACACACCGCCCGUCACACCAUGGGAGUUGAUCUUACCUGAAAUCGUGGCCCUAACUCUUGAGAGGGGAGCGCUUACGGUCGAACUGAUGACUGGGGUG